Molecule: long non-coding RNA, 1556 nt
Organism: Gallus gallus (chicken)
Lineage: Eukaryota; Metazoa; Chordata; Aves; Galliformes; Phasianidae
Exons: 2
Source: RefSeq, a predicted model, not a curated record
ACCGCAUGACUUGUGCCAUACCCUCCUGCCUCGUGCUGUCACCGCGCUGCCAUCAGCCACGCUGAGAGGGACAGCCGAGGUGACGCGGGGCCACCCCGGGAGCGGCUCAGACAGCAGAUGCAGCAGUUUGGCUGAGCUUCCCUGGCUGCUAGGGCAUUUCGUCAAGCAUGAGUUCCCUCAGUUUUCAGAGAGGAAGUUUUCCAACUGAGCCUUGAAGGAACACUGCACUCAUCAGUAUCCCCCACUGCCCUCCUGUGUGACCUGCAAGCAGCAAGGGAGGGACUGAUCGCUCGAGACCUCAUGUCAAUCUGAGAGGCCUCUGAAUAUCUUCAUUUUCUUUUCGACAAAAAAUAUUUGACCCACUUAAAAUGAAUCUUGUUUACCUGCAUGAAUAGAUUUACUAAUGUUAGCAGGAGUAAGAUGAGCAGACUGGCACUAUUCACAGUGCUAUGCAUCUGAAAUUUUGCAUACAUUAGAAGUUAAGACAGACUUCCUCAGAAGGAAUUCUUUUUCCAUAAGGAAAAGGAAAACCAUAUAUACCAUGGAUGGCAGCAGAAACCAACACGAAAUAAUUACUCCUAUGACACAAUGAGGAGCAUACAGAACGACCUGCAGGAUCUGGACAUACAUUGCAAGGAGAGGAGCUGCACAGCUCCAACUGGUGCACUGAGUUGUCAGAGCACUGCUGCUGGUACUUGGGGCUUCUAAAGGUAUGGUCUGUCAGCAAGAUUUUGAGUCCCUAUUUGGAUGCAAUCAAGCUGGAUUUUCAUCUCUAGCAAGCUGUGUUAAUGUACCUGACGUUCUCUUGAGGCUGGCCCUAAGAUUUGUAGCUUGUAAUUUCUGUUUCUAGGCUCAUCCUUUCUGUGGUCCUCAAAAUCAGGGAAGGAAAUCCCUUUUUAAUUUUGUUGCCAGUAAGGUCCCUUGAGCCAAUUGAUCUUAUUCAGGACUUCAGCCAUACUUUGCCCAAGAAUGCAAGGAAACUUCCUGGAUCAGAUGUGAGAUGGAAAUACAAGUGAAAUCUGGAUAAAUUUUGCUUGAUGUCUGAUGCUCUUUUUCAUACCUAGCAGCUAGGAUGUGCGGCCCAGUGAACACACUCAAACCAGAAGAUGCAUUGCCAAGCCAGGAGUUCUCAGCUGUUUCUAACAACUCCUAAACCCCAAGGUACAAUCCCAAGGAGCAGAUCCAGAGAGGCAGCAGGGUCAGGCUUGGCAAAGCCAACACUGGGCAGGAGGCGCAAGCUCAUGAGAGCUGCUGCGCUGAGCCAGGCAACGGGGACGUGGCUCUGCUGCUCCCCUCUCCUUGGAGACCUCCAGAACUGGGGAUGGCAAACAGUGGCUGACAGCAGUGAGCACAGUGCCAUGAGUGUUCCCUGUCUGACCAUCAUGAGAACUGCCACUAAAACUGGUCUGCAAGUCUGAGAACAGGAUUUGUUUUUUUGUUAAGAACUAUGUACAAAGGGGGCAGAUAAUUCUGUUCAUGCUUGAAACAGUGAGAAAAGAAGUAACAGUGAGUGCUUUGCAGAAUACAUUUUCCUGUGAGUAAAAGAUUUCAAGGCA